RNAcentral lists this ribosomal RNA (303 nucleotides) under uncultured bacterium. RNAcentral's name for it is "partial 16S ribosomal RNA". It matches the Rfam family "Bacterial small subunit ribosomal RNA", at positions 507 to 807 of the family's 1533-position model. The record is from RNAcentral.
AGCAGUCGCCGCGGUAAUACGGAGGAUCCAAGCGUUAUCCGGAAUCAUUGGGUUUAAAGGGUCCGUAGGCGGUCUUGUAAGUCAGUGGUGAAAGCCCAUCGCUCAACGGUGGAACGGCCAUUGAUACUGCAGGACUUGAAUUAUUGGGAAGUAACUAGAAUAUGUAGUGUAGCGGUGAAAUGCUUAGAGAUUACAUGGAAUACCAAUUGCGAAGGCAGGUUACUACCAAUUGAUUGACGCUGAUGGACGAAAGCGUGGGUAGCGAACAGGAUUAGAGACCCCUGUAGUCCCUGUCUCUUAUAC